AUAUCACCUGAUAACAUAUGAUCACUGGAAUUAAGCAAUGUGGAGCCUGGUCAGUACCUAGAUGGAUGAUCACUUGGGAAUACCAGGUGCUGUAAU
Non-coding RNA from Acanthosepion pharaonis, 96 nucleotides. Lineage: Eukaryota; Metazoa; Mollusca; Cephalopoda; Sepiida; Sepiidae. The record is from the annotation of a GenBank genome assembly.